RNAcentral lists this ribosomal RNA (471 nucleotides) under uncultured bacterium. RNAcentral's name for it is "bacterial SSU rRNA". It matches the Rfam family "Bacterial small subunit ribosomal RNA", at positions 28 to 507 of the family's 1533-position model. The record is from RNAcentral.
GACGAACGCUGGCGGCGUGCUUAACACAUGCAAGUCGAACGAUGAAGCUGGAGCUUGCUCCGGUGGAUUAGUGGCGAACGGGUGAGUAACACGUGAGCAAUCUGCCCUUGACUCUGGGAUAACUGCGGGAAACUGUAGCUAAUACCGGAUAUUUUCCCUGGUGGGCAUCCACUGGGGAAGAAAGAAUUUCGGUCAAGGAUGAGCUCGCGGCCUAUCAGCUAGUUGGUGAGGUAAUGGCUCACCAAGGCGACGACGGGUAGCCGGCCUGAGAGGGUGACCGGCCACACUGGAACUGAGACACGGUCCAGACUCCUACGGGAGGCAGCAGUGGGGAAUAUUGCACAAUGGGCGAAAGCCUGAUGCAGCAACGCCGCGUGAGGGGACGAAGGGCCCUUCGGGUUGGUAAACCUCUUUUAGCAGGGAAGAAGCGAAAGUGACGGUACCUGCAGAAAAGCACCGGCUAACUACGUG